CCUGUUGCGACGUACUUCUUUACAUCGCCAUACUAACGUCGAAAAGAGCUAUGGAAUGUAAAGAAGUAUGUAGUGGCGGA
This 80-nucleotide microRNA precursor is filed under the name Anisakis simplex (herring worm). RNAcentral describes it as "mir-1 microRNA precursor family". It matches the Rfam family "mir-1 microRNA precursor family". From Rfam's summary of the family: This family represents the microRNA (miRNA) mir-1 family. miRNAs are transcribed as ~70nt precursors (modelled here) and subsequently processed by the Dicer enzyme to give a ~22nt product. In this case the mature sequence comes from the 3' arm of the precursor. The extents of the hairpin precursors are not generally known and are estimated based on hairpin prediction. The record is from Rfam by way of RNAcentral. Lineage: Eukaryota; Metazoa; Nematoda; Chromadorea; Rhabditida; Anisakidae.